UCGCCAGACUCCUACGGGAGGCAGCAGUGAGGAAUAUUGGUCAAUGGACGAGAGUCUGAACCAGCCAAGUAGCGUGAAGGAUGACUGCCCUAUGGGUUGUAAACUUCUUUUAUAAAGGAAUAAAACGAGGCACGUGUGCCUUUUUGCAUGUACUUUAUGAAUAAGGAUCGGCUAACUCCGUGCCAGCAGCCGCGGUAAUACGGAGGAUGCGAGCGUUAUCCGGAUUUAUUGGGUUUAAAGGGUGCGUAGGCGGGAUGCCAAGUCAGCGGUAAAAAUGCGGUGCUCAACGCCGUCGAGCCGUUGAAACUGGCGUUCUUGAGUGGGCGAGAAGUAUGCGGAAUGCGUGGUGUAGCGGUGAAAUGCAUAGAUAUCACGCAGAACUCCGAUUGCGAAGGCAGCAUACCGGCGCCCUACUGACGCUGAGGCACGAAAGCGUGGGUAUCGAACAGGAUUAGAUACCCGGGUACC
RNAcentral lists this ribosomal RNA (468 nucleotides) under uncultured bacterium. RNAcentral's name for it is "bacterial SSU rRNA". It matches the Rfam family "Bacterial small subunit ribosomal RNA", at positions 328 to 796 of the family's 1533-position model. The record is from RNAcentral.